UAAGGAAUAUUGGCCAAUGGACGCAAGUCUGAACCAGCCAUGCCGCGUGAAGGAAGACGGCCCUACGGGUUGUAAACUUCUUUUGUACGGGAAAAAAUCUCCGGUCGUGAAUCGGAGCUGAUGGUACCGUAAGAAUAAGCAUCGGCUAACUCCGUGCCAGCAGCCGCGGUAAUACGGAGGAUGCAAGCGUUAUCCGGAUUCAUUGGGUUUAAAGGGUGCGCAGGCGGAAUGAUAAGUCAGUGGUGAAAUCCUACGGCUCAACUGUAGAACUGCCAUUGAUACUGUCGUUCUUGAGUACACUUGGAGUGGGCGGAAUGUCUCAUGUAGCGGUGACAUGCCUAGAUAUGACACAGAACACCGAUCGCGAAGGCAGCUCACUAAAUUGUAACUGACGCUAAGGCACGAAAGCGUGGGGAUCAAACA
RNAcentral lists this ribosomal RNA (423 nucleotides) under uncultured prokaryote. Its description in RNAcentral is "bacterial SSU rRNA". It matches the Rfam family "Bacterial small subunit ribosomal RNA", at positions 355 to 774 of the family's 1533-position model. The record is from RNAcentral.